AGGACCGGACAACCUCAGACCGUCCCUAACAUCCCUGCUGCGAGGCCCGCGGGCUGUGGAAUCUCGCACGUCACCUGGCCCCGGCAGGGCGGCCAGCUGAAGUGUUCAUUUAAUUUAAUUUGAUUUGAUUUGAUUUUAAUUUUUUCAAGUUCAGGCUGAAUCUCGGCUUCAGUGCUUUUGCCAGCCAACGUCUCCUCCACUGACAGGAACCAGCAAACUUCGAGACUCACAUACGCGUCUUAAUUUAUUGACGCAAAACAGGUCUGCCUGUGGCCCCCAAUUCUCGGCGCGCUCAGUCCCCCGCGCCCCCAGCUCCGGUCCCUCCAUUUGGUCUCUGGAAAGCUUCACAUGUGAGAUAAAUGCACUCAAAGACUCCUCACAAGUAGCUCUUUGGAGCUUCAGAUGUGAAAUGGAUCGUUCCUCAAUCUGUAAUAGACCCUUCUGUGAAGCUCUUCAAUCAAACCUGAGGAUUCAAGGCGUUUUGUUGCAUCCUAAACAGAAGGAUAUUGAAGGGAGCUGAUUCCGCUUUGAUCCUUGUGCUUGUUGUCAAAGCGCUUGGGAUUGAAGAGACUGUUGGCUACAAUUGACUGUGACAAUUAGGAGAUGAUCAGAGCCCUAGAGUGGAGCACUUAAAGGGUUUGCAUUUAAAACACUCUUGGAGCACUAAUGGUAUAAAAUUCUGGUAACUGCACAUUCUCUUUUUAGAGCAGUAAUAAGUGAAUGAAUGAAAAGGCAGGGAUUAUUUGCCAUUCUAAGUGUGAACUGUCAGAAGAUUUCUUCUUGAAUGAAAUUGUUUUGGAAGGUGAGCUGGAACAAGACUCUUGUGACUAAAGCGAGGUGACUCUGCCUGUGGUUUUUCGAUGUUUCUCUUCACUGAAGAACUCUGCAGAGCUGUUCUUGGACUUAGAAGUUGAUUUACAUUUUCUUUAUUGGGGAUUUUGUAGGUGAAUCAUAUGAAAACAUUUAAAAGUAUGUGUAUUUGACUAUUAAUAAGUACACGGGGGUCUUUUGCAAGCUAAUUUGAAAUGAUUUGAAGUGAGUUUUUCUGUUUACCAUCACAGUGUUUUUACAAUGUAUAAAUUGCCAUAUUGUGACAAAAUAAAUUAUUGAAAUGCUUUGAAACGUUUUUAGAAAUAGGCCCAAGAAAACAAUGUGUACAUUCUUAGUUAAUUCACACGUUAAUUCAUUGAAAUGUCUCUGCUACUGAAAAGUUCUAGAGCCUUUAUAGCACAACAUUCCAGAACAUUUACUGUCUUGUUUUAAUAAGCUGCUUUCUUUGUAUACCUGUUUGGUGGCAGCACAGAGGCUGCCAGAUUUAGCAAGUAAAAAUCAAGAAUUUCUCGUUAAAUUUGCGUUUCUGAUAAAUAGUGAAUACUUUUUUUAAUGUAAGUAUGUCCCAUGCAGUGCUUGCAUUUUAUCUGGAACCCUAGUUGAUACUUUGAUAUUGCAACCACACACUGAAUGGAUGGGCUAGUUAUUAAUAAAUUAUAAAUGAUCAUUUAUAGAUCAGUUUACUUUCACUGUCAUAUUAGGUGGGCCAGCCCGCAUGCUGCUCUCAAAUAGAAACCAAGGGCUUUUAACUCAUUAUUGCUGAGUUUAACUUUCCCCAUA
Long non-coding RNA from Artibeus jamaicensis (Jamaican fruit-eating bat), 1611 nucleotides. RefSeq lists it as uncharacterized. NCBI's taxonomy places the organism in Eukaryota, Metazoa, Chordata, Mammalia, Chiroptera, Phyllostomidae. The record is from RefSeq and is a predicted model, not a curated record. The transcript has 4 exons.